AUUUGAAAUCUGGUACUUUCAGUGCCCGAGUUGUAAUUUGUAGAAUUUGUCUUUGAUUAGGUCCUUGUCUAUGUUCCUUGGAACAGGACGUCAUAGAGGGUGAGAAUCCCGUUUGGCGAGGAURCCUUUUCUCUGUAAGACUUUUUCKAAGAGUCSAGUUGUUUGGGAAUGCAGCUCAAAGUGGGUGGUAAAUUCCAUCUAAAGCUAAAUAUUGGCSAGAGACCGAUWGCGAACAAGUACAGUGAUGGAAAGAUGAAAAGAACUUUGAAAAGAGAGUGAAAAAGUACGUGAAAUUGUUGAAAGGGAAKGGCAUUUGAUCARACAUGGUGUUUUUUGCAUGCACUCKCCUCUCRUGGGCUUGGGCCUCUCAAAAAUUUCACUGGGCCAACAUCAAUUCUGGCAGCAGGAUAAAUCAUUAAGAAUGUAGCUACUUCSGUAGUGUUAUAGCUUUUUGGAAUACUGUUAGCCGGGAUUGASGACUGCSCUUCSGCWAGGAUGUUGGCAUAAUGGUKAAAUGCCGCCCGUCUUGAAC
This 532-nucleotide ribosomal RNA is filed under the name Hanseniaspora uvarum. RNAcentral describes it as "partial large subunit ribosomal RNA". Lineage: Eukaryota; Fungi; Ascomycota; Saccharomycetes; Saccharomycodales; Saccharomycodaceae. The record is from RNAcentral.